This 99-nucleotide ribosomal RNA is filed under the name uncultured bacterium. RNAcentral describes it as "partial 16S ribosomal RNA". It matches the Rfam family "Bacterial small subunit ribosomal RNA", at positions 392 to 508 of the family's 1533-position model. The record is from RNAcentral.
CGAUGCCGCGUGCGUGAAGAAGGCCUUCGGGUUGUAAAGCGCUUUUAUUAGGGAAGAUGAUGACGGUACCUAAGGAAUAAGCCCCGGCAAACUUCGUGC